CAAGUUGAUGUUACUCUAAAAAAGAGUAACUGGCAUUCCCGUGGUGGCUCAGUGGAAACGAAUCUGACUAGCAUCCAUGAGGACUCAGUUUUGAUCCCUGGCCUUGCUCAGCGGGUUAAGGAUCCGGUGUUGCCGUGAGCUGAGGUGUAGGUCGCAGACACAGCUUGGAUCCUGCGUGGCCAUAGUUGUGGCGUAGGCCAGCGGCUACAGCUCCGAUUGGACCUCUGGCUUGGGAACUUCCAUAUGCUGUGGGUGUGGCCCUGAAAAGACAGUAAGAUAAGAUAAAAUAAACUGCCGUAAUUUUCCUGAGUGUUCUCUGUUGUAGUUGUAGACAAGUCUUUGGCAGAGUUUUUCCUUUUUUAAAAAUUGAAAUAUAAAUGCAGGAAAAGGUGCCAUUAAUAGAUAAUUGCUACCAUAUUGUUGUCUUUUAUUGCUUUUGUUAAUGCUUUGUGGGCAGUUUAUAUGCAAUGUAUUUUAGGCCCACUAGAUUGGGAAUUGACAUACAUAAUAUUAAGUUAGUUUUGAUCCAAAUUAAAAUAGUCUAAGCUGGGUAAUUUUGCUUAGUAAACGGCAGGAGUUGAAGGAUGUAUAGUAAUUUGGUCCUCCUGCAUAGCUAUUUCUAAAGUUUGUCUUUUGAAUGAAUCCUCUUCUGAUGUGUGAUAAAUUACCCCCUACUUCACAGCUUAAGGCAACAGACAUUUACUAUCACAGUUUCUGAAGUUCAGGAACUGGAGAGUGGCUUGGCUGGGUGCUUCUGGUUCGGAGUCUCUCCCGAGGCUGUGGACAUCUGCAGGCUUGACUGGUGUUGGAGAGUCUGCUUCCAAGAUGGCGCACUCACAUGGCUGUUGGCUGGAGGCCUCAGUCCUCACCAAGGGGCUUCUCCAUAGGACUCUUCACAACAUGGUGGCUCACUUUCUCCCAAGGGCAAGUGAUCUGAGACGGGGAGGAAGUGGGAGAAAGGAUGAUCAAGUGGAAACUGCAGUGUCUUGGUAUCUAAGUGACAUACUGUCGCUUCUGCCAGCACAGAGGCCAACCUGGUGUAACAUGGGAGUGGACUGCCCUGGGGAAGCUUGAAGACCAUUGGCAUGCUUGUUUUUUGUUUUUGUCUUUUUCUAGGGCCACACCCACAGCAUAUGGAGGUUCCCAGGCUAGGAGUUGAGUCAGAGCUGUAGCUGCCGGCCUACACCACAGCCACAGCAGCUCAGGAUCGGAGCUGCAUCUGCGAUCUACACCACAGCUCAGGGCAAUGCCAAAUCCUUAACCGACUGAGAGAGGUCAGGGAUUGAACCCGUGUCCUCAUGGAUGUGGGUUCUCUAACCACUGAGCCACAAGGGGAACUCCACCAUCUGUGUAUUUUUUAAGAAAUAAAACUCACUGACAUGGUAGCUAAAAACAUCUUGGAGAACCUGCUUAUUAAAUGCUUCUUUCUAACUUUAUGUAUGUGUGAAACCUGCCACUAUAAAAAGUUUUUUUUUUAGUCAUUUGUCUUUUAUGUGGGGGUUCCCAGGCUAGGAGUUGAAUCAGAGCUGUAGCUGCUGGCCUACACCACAGCCACAGCUACUCAGGAUCUGAGCUGUGUCUGUGACCUACACCACAGCUGAUGGCAAAACGGGAUCCUUAACCCACUGAGUGAGGCCAGGGAUCGAACCCGCAUCCUCAUGGAUACUGGUCGGGGGUUUGUUAACCACUGAACCAUGACGGGAACGCCCCAUACAAAGUUUUUUAAAAAGGGGAGGGGCAAAAGAGGCAUAAUCACAAGAAAAAGUUUCCUAGAGCCCUGACAGCAAGGCCAAUAAAUAAAUAGUGGCAUUCUGGCAAUAGAAAAAAUAGAGCCCUUCCCCCAAUUACCUGAAAACUUCGGACAAUAUUUAUUUGUCUAGCAAGUUUUCAUUUCUUUUUUGAAAUUCUAAUACAUUAAAAAAACUUUUUUUUUUUUUUUUUUUAAAUGGCUGCCCCCCUGGCAUGGGGAAAUUCCCAGGCCAGGGAUUGAACCUGCGCCUCUGCACCUAUAUGUGCUGCUAUAGUUGGAUUCUUAAGCCACUGUGCCACAGAGGGAGCUCCAAGCCCUAACACAUUUUAAUUAUUCACCUGCACAAAAAGAGCUUUAUUCUUUUAACUUCUAGAUGAAAUCUUUCUGUAGUGUCCGUACGUGCAGAGAAGAAUUUAGGAACCCUGAGCUUGAAGCCCGAUUAAAAGGUCUGUAGGUUUCUUCCUAGCUCUUAAAAAUUCUAUGAUUCUAACAUAGAACAAAUAUCCUUUGACUUGGGCAUAUUUAUAACAAAAGGUUUCAUAAAUCAAGUUAAAUUGUAACUUCAGAAAAUGAAGUCUUCUGAGAAUUGCUUUAGUUCAUUCCAACCCAGUUCAAGGUUGUUAGUCGCCAUUAGGCAGACUAGAAAAGUCAGCACAAUUUGCCUUUCCUUUCUUCCUAUUUUUGGCCUGUCUCCUGUUUGCUGCCCUAAUUUAUGAGCUAGUAUCUUUCUUUUCUCUUUAUCCUGCCUCUCCUAUCAGCCCCCUUCUUCCUUCCACUCCCCUCCCCCUGUGAAAACAGGAAAAGGUUGGUGGCCAGGCAUUUGUUGUAGAUUAGCUGAUCCCAUUAUUAGGAAUGGAUUUUAGCCAAUGUGGUACCUCUGCUCAUCCUCGCAUAUUAAGCCUUUUUAAAAUCUCAAGUUAUAUGUGUUCAUUCAGUACCUUCUACCAUCUUUUAACUUUUUUUUUUUUUUUUUUUGGGCCACACCCACAGCAUGGGAAAUUUCCCUGGCCAGGAAUCGAACGGCACUGCCGUUGCAACCUGCACCACAGCUGUGGCAAUGCCGGAUCCUUAACCCACUGCACUAUAAGGGAACUUCCUGUUAUUUUUUGAAACGUAAAAAAAAAAAUCUUACUGUAGUUGAUUUUUACAAUGUUCUGUCAAUUUCUGCUGUGCAGCAAAGUGACCCAGUUAUACCCAUAUAUAGAUUUUUUUUCACAUUAUCCUCCAUCAUGUUUCAUCACAAGUGAUUAGAUAUAGUUCCCUGUGCUAUAUAGCAGGAUCUCAUUGCCCACCAUUCUUUAACUUCUAAAGGGGUUCUACACCCAAUUCCAAUGUGGAUUAUGUGUGGGGGCACAGCACCAAGACAUUCUCUGACACCAGCAGGGUGACCUGUGAUUCAGCUCAAUGGUGACCCUCUCUACCUAGAGAUAACACCAGGUUCCCGAGGUCAAGGACUCUGUCCCACAGGACUGCCCUCCGCUUCAGCUGCCAGUCACAAAGCCCAGAUGUUACCUGUACUUCUGACCAACUAGCUAUAAACCAGAAGUUCCCAUGUCCCCCUGCUUGGGUUUGAUUAAUUUGCUGGAGUGGCUCACAGAACUCAGGAAACCCAUUUCAUCACUUCAUGACCAGUUUCUUAUAAAGAUUGUUAAAGGACAUGAAUCAACAGCCAGAUGAAGAGAUCCAGGUCCCAGGUCACAAACCAAGGAGCUUCUGUCCUCAUGGAAUUUGCCCCCGCCCCCCAUGGUGGCACACGAAUGAACUCUGCUUCUCCAGUCUGGACACUCUCUGAACCUCUUCUUUUCUUCUUCUUUUUUAAAUCCUUUUAGGGCCACACCAGGCUAGGGGUCCAAUCGGAGCUGUAGCUGGCGGCCUAAAGCCACAGCCACAGCAAUGUGGGAUCUGAGCUGUAUCUGCGACCUACACCACAGCUCAUGGCAAUGCUGGAUCCUUAACUCACUGAGUGAGGUCAGGGAUUGAACCCACAACCUCAAGGUUGCUAGGCAGAUUCCCUUCUGCUGCGCCAUGACAAGAACUCCCAAAACAGAGUCUGGCUCCAUCCCAGACCUGCUGAAUCAGAAUGUGCCUUUGACCAAGAUUCCCAGGUACUGUGAGAGGCACUGGUACAGAUAACUAGGCCUACAGAGAAAUUGUGUCACUAGCUAGAGGGGAAUAUGAGGAUAAAAAUGGUAAGUGUGUUUAGGAUGAAGAUUAAACAGAAUGACAGGAAUGACCUUGGUAUGGGGGUGUGGGUGGCACAGAGUCCAACACCUUUGUGGAGAGUUGGCGUCUGCCAAGAGCAGCAGACAAGGAGGAGAUAGGCAUGGAUGCCAGUGGGUUUGUAGACUUGGCAGAGGAGUGGUAAGGGCGUUGUGCUCCAUGGCUUCUGUUUGGGGAAAAUGAGGCAAGGUCACUGGUGGAGCGUGAGCGUGGGGAGGGCCUCGGAGAGCGUCACAGUAAGAUUUCUUGGACGUGUAGAGUGAACACCCAUUCCCAGUUUGUGACCCUAAACACACUUCUCCUCGUGUUUCCUAAGGUUGGUCAUGUGACUUUCCCACUCCAGCAGCAUUUGCUUGUUGGGUGCAGAUGCCAGGCAGGAUAGUGAGGCGAUGAGGGAGGUGACUGUGUUUGCAGAGUGAGCUAUGGGGUCUCAGUUGGGGAAGGAGGGAAGUGGGAUCCCUGGGGGUCCAUGCACUGAGGGAAGGUGCUGGAACCAGUGCUCUUGUAUCCAGAGGCAGAGAAUGAUGGGGGAGGGGUGGAUGAGCAGGUGAGCUAGAGGGAUGGGGGCCAGGGCCAGACAGUGAGAGGAGAGGAUGAUCACGCUGAUGAUAAUGAAGUGACCACAGUAGUGUCACAGGAAAGGAACGAAAAAGCUUUGGGGAAUUCCUGUUGUGGCAUAGCAGAAAUGAAUCCGCUAGGAACCAUGAGGUUGUGGGUUCAAUCCCUGGCCUCGCUCAGUGGGUUAAGGAUCCAGCAUUGCCAUGAGCUGUGGUGCUGUGGUGUAGGUCGCAGAUGCAGCUUGGCUCUGGUGUAGGCUGGCAGCUGUAGCUCUGAUUAGACCCCCAGCCUGGGAACCUCCAUGGGCCUUGGGUGCGGUGCUAAAAAGCAAAAAAAAA
This 4866-nucleotide long non-coding RNA is filed under the name Sus scrofa (pig). Its description in RNAcentral is "lncRNA (ENSSSCG00050007004.1)". The record is from RNAcentral. Lineage: Eukaryota; Metazoa; Chordata; Mammalia; Artiodactyla; Suidae.